Molecule: long non-coding RNA, 1318 nt
Organism: Gallus gallus (chicken)
Lineage: Eukaryota; Metazoa; Chordata; Aves; Galliformes; Phasianidae
Exons: 2
Source: RefSeq, a predicted model, not a curated record
AUCCCCAUACGUCAAAUGAGGAGAUGAUGAAUGCAGAAGUGAUUAAGAUCUGUCUGUGUUUGUGCAGCACUGUGGCAGUGCACCAAGGCUAGGGAGAAGAGGAGGAAGGGGCAUAGAAAGUGUGGGUGUGCAGCUUGGGUUUGGUGCAGCUCAGACGAGGGAGUUGAGGAAGGGAUGGAAAGGUGGCUGUGAUGUAGCCAAGCAGCAGGACAGGAGGGUAAAAGGACUUUGAGUGGGGAUGAGCAGGAGCACUUUCCCUUACCACUAAGGAAAGGAUUGUCAGCACAGGGAAAGCAGACCUGGCUGGAUCCUUACUCACCUGGACCAGCAGGGCAGGCACAUGGGCAGCGUUCUGUGGGAGGAAAAGGCUAGGCUACCCAGGGAGGUGGUGGAGUCACAGUCCCUGGAGGUGUUCAAGAAGUGUGGGGAUAUGGCACUGAGGGAUGUGGUCAGUGGGCAUGGUGGGGGCGUGCUGAUGGCUGGACUGGGUGAUCUUAGUGCUCCGUGACUCCUGGAAGAGCCUGGGCUUGUCCACAGCCCUGCAUUAACAGGCUCACCCCUGGGCAGAGGCACACGGGUGUCUGUCAGGGUUUGGCACGGCGCUGCGGUGAUUCAGGGUUCUCCAGACAGUGGGACAAAGGGCAGCAGCCUGCUCACGGGUCUGCUCUCUUGGCCACGGUGAACAGGCAUGACACCAGGGGCAGUGCCAGCCUUCCCUCUGCCCAGUGAGAGCAGGAAUCAGCAGACAGCACAGCCUCUGCCCUACUUGUGCCCAUCCCCUCCCCUUCCUGUAGGGCACUGUCUUCCCAGGCAAUCUCCUCAGUGUUUUAUUUCACUUAAGUUUCAAACAACAUUGCCCACACGAUUUAAUUCUCCUUUGUGGCAACGUAUAUGUAUUACCCCUUGGGUGGAUUAGAGACCGAUUUAUUGCCUUCCACUUGUCAGAAAACCUUCCACACACCCCCUCCCUCAGUCACCUUUCCUCUACAAACCGGCUCAUUUGAUCCCUCCCAUUGGAGAUGUUGGUUUUUAGACCUUUGAUUGCUCCUGCUGCUCACCUGGGAGCGCUGCGUGGCUCACUCUUCCUGAAAUAUCAUGCCAAGCACGGUGUUAACAUUAGGAAAGCCUUGUCUGGAACACAUUUUGGAGCCUUCAUGUUUGUAAAGCUGUUGCUGCAGGGGAUAGGAGUAAGCAGUAAGCUACCAGCAAGAGCUUCUUUUUACUCGUUAUCCCUUCGCCAUCCCUCCCCAUCUCAGCUGGAGAUGUUAUCCUUCACUCUCUGCCCUUAAUUCAUCAUUAAACAUCUGCAACAACUUCA